RNAcentral lists this ribosomal RNA (493 nucleotides) under uncultured bacterium. RNAcentral describes it as "partial 16S ribosomal RNA". It matches the Rfam family "Bacterial small subunit ribosomal RNA", at positions 28 to 507 of the family's 1533-position model. The record is from RNAcentral.
GACGAACGCUGGCGGCGUGCUUAACACAUGCAAGUCUAACGGUGAAGGGACCGGUUUUUGCUGGUUCUGGAUGAGUGGCGAACGGGUGAGUAACACGUGAGUAACCUGCCCCCUUCUUCUGGAUAACCGCAUGAAAGUGUGGCUAAUACGGGAUAUUCUGCGCCUGCUGCAUGGUGGGUGUGGGAAAGAUAUUGUUUCGGUGGGGGAUGGGCUCGCGGCCUAUCAGCUUGUUGGUGGGGUGAUGGCCUACCAAGGCGGUGGCGGGUAGCCGGCAUGAGAGGGUGGACGGUCACACUGGGACGGAGACACGGCCCAGACUCCUACGGGAGGCAGCAGUGGGGAAUAGUGAACAGUGGGCGCAAGCCUGCUGCAGCGACGCCGCGGGAGGGAUGGAGGCCUUCGGGUUGUAAACCUCUUUCGCCAGUGAAGCAGGCCUGUCCCUUGUGUGGGUGGGUUGACGGUAGCUGGAGAAGAAGCGCCGGCUAACUACGUG